This is a long non-coding RNA of Conger conger (European conger), 705 nucleotides long. RefSeq lists it as uncharacterized. The transcript is spliced from 3 exons. The record is from RefSeq and is a predicted model, not a curated record. NCBI's taxonomy places the organism in Eukaryota, Metazoa, Chordata, Actinopteri, Anguilliformes, Congridae.
CAGUCCAAUGAAAAGUUUUCAUGGAAUCUUAAAAGUGCGAACAUUUCAAAACAAGGAAAGUACGACCUUUCUCUGAAACCAGAGUUAGAAAAUGCAGGCGUUUUUACUUUCAUUCAAACUAAACCAGAGAAAGUUAAUUUGGUGCAGUUUGAAGUGUUUGCUGUAGAAGUGAAAUCAUUGCGCUCUCAAAAAGCACCUGAAGGAUCUGAUGUGACCAUGAGCUGUGAGGUAUCCCACCUUCCAGAUUCAGCUACACUGGCCUGGGAAUGGGACAGAGAACCCACUGCUAACACAACGCUGAUCUACAACAACACUGCCCACAUCAUCAUCCACAGUUUUGACGAACACAGUGAGGGAACCUAUAACUGUACACUCCGACGGAACGGAGCGCUUAUUUUCAGCGUUCCCAAUGAACUUAAAGUCACCAAGGAAACAUUUGCGACACACCACACUCUGUACAGAGGGAGUUUGAACAGCAGUGAGGCGGUGCUAAUCUGCCAUUCUCUGAUCUCAUACACAAAAGCCACCUGGUCUUGGGUGCCAGCGUCUGAGACCCAAGCAAUCCUUGUGGCCUCAGCUGGUAAACACAAGAAUGCUUCAAUUUCCAUGGAGAUGGACAAAGAGAGAUUCUCAUGUGAUGUCUAUGAUGGGUCUAAGUUUCCUUUGAAAAUCUCACCAGUGAAGUUUGGAGACAGUGGAAGGUAC